Non-coding RNA from Ornithorhynchus anatinus (platypus), 72 nucleotides. NCBI's taxonomy places the organism in Eukaryota, Metazoa, Chordata, Mammalia, Monotremata, Ornithorhynchidae. The record is from Rfam.
AGCAGCGUGGCUCAGUGGAAAGAGCAUGGGCUUUGGAGUCCGAGGUCAUGAGUUUGAAUCCCAGCUCUGCCA